GGUGGGUCCGGGGGUGG
This 17-nucleotide microRNA is filed under the name Corchorus olitorius. RNAcentral's name for it is "hsa-miR-36". The record is from RNAcentral. Lineage: Eukaryota; Viridiplantae; Streptophyta; Magnoliopsida; Malvales; Malvaceae.